CCUACGGGAGGCAGCAGUGGGGAAUAUUGCACAAUGGGCGAAAGCCUGAUGCAGCAACGCCGCGUGAAGGAAGAAGGGUUUCGGCUCUUAAACUUCUAUCAACAGGGACGAAAGAAAUGACGGUACCUGCAUAAGAAGCCCCCGCUAACUACGUGCCAGCAGCCGCGGUCAUACGGAGGGCGCAAGCGUUAUCCGGAAUUACUGGGUGGAAAGGAUGAGUAGGCGGCAUGGUAAGCCAGAUGUGAAAGCCUUGGGCUUAACCCGAGGAUUGCAUUUGGAACUGUCAAGCUAGAGUACAGGAGAGGAAAGCGGAAGUCCUAGUGUAGCGGUGAAAUGCGUAGAUAUUAGGAAGAACACCAGUGGCGAAGGCGGCUGUCUGGACUGAAACUGACGCUGAGGCACGAAAGCGUGGGGAGCGAACAGGAUUAGAUACCCCAGUAGUC
Molecule: ribosomal RNA, 443 nt
Filed under: uncultured bacterium
Lineage: Bacteria
Description: partial 16S ribosomal RNA
Rfam family: Bacterial small subunit ribosomal RNA
Source: RNAcentral